Long non-coding RNA from Leopardus geoffroyi (Geoffroy's cat), 293 nucleotides. RefSeq lists it as uncharacterized. The transcript has 3 exons. The record is from RefSeq and is a predicted model, not a curated record. NCBI's taxonomy places the organism in Eukaryota, Metazoa, Chordata, Mammalia, Carnivora, Felidae.
CGACACGGAGAGCUGAACUUGGGGAGCAAGAAGCCCCGAAAGAUCCUACCUGGAUUCCAAACAUUACCUAAUGGCUCUUCACGCAAGUUAUGGGUAAUGUGGGAAUUAGCUGUCAUGAUGCUACCAGCAAAAGACUGUGGACUUGUCCCAUCCAUUGGUAAACUGCUGGCAUCUUCCUUGAUUGAAGGUGAAUCUGGAGUAACUGUUCUUUUGGUAAAUGCUGGAAAGGCAAGAGAAAAGACAAAAAUAAACCUAAAUGAAUAAAAUCCUUGGGCUGACAAAAUUGUAAGUAA